Marmota flaviventris (yellow-bellied marmot) is the source of this 1627-nucleotide long non-coding RNA. RefSeq lists it as uncharacterized. NCBI's taxonomy places the organism in Eukaryota, Metazoa, Chordata, Mammalia, Rodentia, Sciuridae. The record is from RefSeq and is a predicted model, not a curated record.
CAAUACCUGAGGGACAGAGAGCUGCUGAGGCUCUGGAUUUAGUCAACAGGUUCCACUUUGGGGUGGGCACACAAGAGGCACCACACUGGUCAGUAAACAAGACCUGGGCCCUGUUACUUCAGAAGUUUAUUUUCUAGAUUUCAUUUUCCAAAAUAUAUUCUGAGAAUCGCUAGUUUAUGGUUAUGUCAAUAAGUGUCACACAGGGUUAAAGGGAAGAGAAGGACCUACAUUUCAGCAAAGUCAAGCAGGUUUAUUUAUGUAAAAGUUAAAAACUGCAGUUCACUAAUAGGACACUUGGUCAUUUCACUCACUGGUUUUGACACUUGUGAGAUACAGGUAUUCUUUUUAUGUUCUUUUUCAGGUAUGUGAAGAGUUGACAGUGCCUGGCAAACAGAAAGCUCCAGCCACCCUGUAGCGCACGCUCUGACCAUCAAGCUCCCCGCACCAUCCCUAAGACCAGAUGGCAAAGCCCUGGCUCUUGCUAAGAGUGACUGGAAACCAGGGGACUGGGGCCCAGGAUUACCCUCUCGCUGCUGGCACAGCUCCCGAUAGUGCUGCCGCAGCUUCAGGAUGAGCUGGGAGCGGAACUGCUCCACUUCAGGGUGCGGUGGCAGCACGUCAGAAGGCCCUCGGUGCUUGAUGACAGCGUUGGUCUGGAUGUCCAGGUCCCAGUACACCCUUGGGGCACACACAGAAGCAAUGAAGAUGCUCUGCUUGCUGCCACCAUAUCCCCCAAAGUCCCGGCAAGCUGACCGUUAGCAAUGGGCACCCCCAAGCCAAUUAGCAGGGACUCACUCAGUGGGUCGAAGGAGAGCUGCUUGCUGUUUAUCUUCAGGGGAUGCACCCCAAAUCUUCAGCGUUGGAGUUCCUGGGACACUGGGGGAGCUGGGCACUGACUGGCCUGUGGGUGUCACAGGAAUUUCAAUCUACAGCAAAAGAGAGACAAAGGGACUGGAUCAGAAGACUUAGCAACCAGGCUCCAACACUGCGUAUCUGGUGAGCUGUGUCCUGGGCCCCCCUCCUGACCAGCCUGCCUAAGCCCAACUCUUGCAGGGAGCCUGUUGGCUGCCUGCCUGAGUUGGUCACUUACCAGCCAGGUCCUGAGAGCCCCGGACACUCACCUUGGGCUUCUUCACACCAUUGCCGCUUGGCUGCUCUUCCGAGAGCUGCCGCUUUCUGGGCUUGUUCUCAGGCGGGGGGGUUUCCACCAAGCUUGAAUCUUGGGGCAGUGGGGUCGCAUUCAGCCCCAAAGGGUCCGACUGGUGGAGGGAGACCAGCAGAGUUGCAACCAGGGCCAGGUGCUUCGGAGCCCUAGUACUUCGGACUCUCAUGCCCUCCCACCCUGCUCUACUCAGCGGAGAACACGGAGGCUGGGAUGCUGGUGGAGAACACCAGGCUCUGCUCCGGCCCGCUACCCGGAACUGUGUGGCCUUGGGUGAGCUACUUCCCUUCCUAAUUUCCUCACCUUCCAAAUGGCCACACAGAGCCCCACCUCACACUGGAGAUUACUACGUGAAUCAGCGAGUCCAACAUACAGCAUGAGAUCGGUGCUUGGUACAUUAUUUUAUUUUUCUUAAGAAUGAAAGGAAUAAAAGAGACUCAGAAAUGUUCAUAUUCAAAAGAUCAA